This 492-nucleotide ribosomal RNA is filed under the name uncultured bacterium. RNAcentral describes it as "bacterial SSU rRNA". It matches the Rfam family "Bacterial small subunit ribosomal RNA", at positions 28 to 515 of the family's 1533-position model. The record is from RNAcentral.
GACGAACGCUGGCGGCGUGCCUAACACAUGCAAGUCGAACGGCAGCACGGGAGCAAUCCUGGUGGCGAGUGGCGAACGGGUGAGUAAUAUAUCGGAACGUGCCCAGUCGUGGGGGAUAACGUAGCGAAAGCUACGCUAAUACCGCAUACGAUCUACGGAUGAAAGCGGGGGAUCGCAAGACCUCGCGCGAUUGGAGCGGCCGAUAUCAGAUUAGCUAGUUGGUGGGGUAAAAGCUCACCAAGGCGACGAUCUGUAGCUGGUCUGAGAGGACGACCAGCCACACUGGAACUGAGACACGGUCCAGACUCCUACGGGAGGCAGCAGUGGGGAAUUUUGGACAAUGGGCGCAAGCCUGAUCCAGCAAUGCCGCGUGCAGGAUGAAGGCCUUCGGGUUGUAAACUGCUUUUGUACGGAACGAAACGGUGAGCUCUAAUAAAGCUUGCUAAUGACGGUACCGUAAGAAUAAGCACCGGCUAACUACGUGCCAGCACG